This is a long non-coding RNA of Cavia porcellus (domestic guinea pig), 1698 nucleotides long. RefSeq lists it as uncharacterized. The transcript is spliced from 3 exons. The record is from RefSeq and is a predicted model, not a curated record. Lineage: Eukaryota; Metazoa; Chordata; Mammalia; Rodentia; Caviidae.
AGUUUUGGAAAUUCCUUCAUGACUGUCCUCACAAGAUUCAUCAAAAUUACAGGAAUGCUUCUGCCAAGUGCCAUACAACUGAAAAGCAGCCUUGCAAAAACAUGAAUUACUGAUUUCAGGAUACUGAUACAAUUACUAAUUGUAGAUACUGUUGUCAGCAUCUCUUCCAUUUCGUCUGGCAUCCCUACUGUGAGAGGCUGGAAAGUGAAAAAACUACAUUGCCAAUGAGAGCUUGCAUUCCUCUGACAGCACUAUUGCUAGAAAAUCAGACCUUGUCCCAGCCUGUGGUAGCUACUGCAGACACCAAGAGGUUAUUGGCUGAGGAGGAAGGUAAAUCACAAUGCGGCAUGGAGGAGGAAUUCUCUGUCUCCAUGAGAUCUUGAUUUGGAGGCAUGUUGGAAGAUCCAGGACCUGGAACACAUUGAGGAAGAAGGCAGCGAACCUGUCUGGGUCCCGGAACGCCUGAUACAUCCCUGCAAGCCACCAGACCCUGACCCAGAGGAAACGUCAACCACAGAACAGGGGAACCAACAGGAGCCUCACAAGCCAGACCAAGCAAGUACACCCACAACUCCCAUUAACCAUGGCACCUUGGCCAACUCCCCUGGUUAGUAGCCUCCUUUUCCCCUCCUUCUUGCAUCUCGUACGGUCCUUGCAGCCAAUGACUUUUCUAAAUUGCUCCACCACAACCUGUUAUAUGUUACAAUGUUGGGAUAACAGUGCACUUUCAGCUGUUGUUAUGCAGGUACUCCAGUUCGCACCGGUUCCAGUUAUGGUGGACUCAGACGAGUUUCCUGUGAUCCAGCUCGGGCCAACUCUCCAAUUGGCUUUCAUAAAGGAAUGGGCAGGAACAGGGGCUCUGGCUACCAUGACUACACUUGCCGCAUUCGGCAGUCUACUUCUGCUCUGUCAGAUUCGCAGACAAAGGAAUAGGGACAAAGUACCAAACAAGCAUUGCUGAUCAUAAAAUCUGGUCAAAGCCCGGCAGCAUGGCUCGCCAUGCUGUGACACAGGUGUGGAGCAAAGCAUCGCAGGGGGUGUCGUCCUUGGCCAGGAGACACCCCGGUCCCCAUGUUGGUGAGCAUGCGGGUUGGGCUCGUAAAACAAUACUCCCGCCCCCUCCAAAAGAGCACCAACAAGUAGUGAGGCACUGUCAUGACUGCGCAGCAUGACACCUCACGAGGGGCACCGACCUCUGGAGACCCUGCGUCAGUUAUAAAGAAAGGGGGAGAUGUUGGGCGCAGGCGCUCAACAUACCAUACCCCAGCCAGGACUAAGGACCACGCCAGCUUCCGCAAUGCGCUACGUCCCUCUUUAAAUUAGCCAACCCGUGUGCACCCCGCGCUCUACUCCGUACUCUGUGGCAACUCCUGAUUGGCCACAGCUGGAUAUAGUAGCCAGAGCCUGCAUCCUAUUCCCGCCCUGCUUCCUUGUGGCAGCCUGUGAUUGGUCACGGCCAAAUAUAUAAACCAGAGCCCGCGUAAAUAAACUAGCAGUUAACUGUCGUCCACAAAAGCGUCUCCUGUCUCCUGUUUCAUUGGAGCUGCGCCGGUCACUGGGUUUUUCUUUAUGGAGACAGAUUUAUUACUGCCUCAGUUUCAUUGCCUUUUUAUAUCUUUUAGGUUAUGUUUUGAUACUUUAUUUCUUCUACAAUGUGUUGAAAUAUUUCCUUUAAAAUUAUUCUAAUUUUUGCAAUGC